This 210-nucleotide ribosomal RNA is filed under the name uncultured prokaryote. RNAcentral describes it as "partial 16S ribosomal RNA". It matches the Rfam family "Bacterial small subunit ribosomal RNA", at positions 524 to 733 of the family's 1533-position model. The record is from RNAcentral.
UACAGAGGGUGCGAGCGUUGUUCGGAAUUAUUGGGCGUAAAGGGCGCGUAGGCGGUGCGGUAAGUCACCUGUGAAAUCUCCCGGCUCAACUGGGAGGGUGCGCCGAAUACUGAGGGACUCGAGUGCGGGAGAGGAGAGUGGAAUUCCUGGUGUAGCGGUGAAAUGCGUAGAUAUCAGGAGGAACACCGGCGGUGUAGACGGCUCUCUGGA